AACGAACGCUGGCGGCAGGCUUAACACAUGCAAGUCGAACGGUUGUAGCAAUACAGCAGUGGCAGACGGGUGAGUAACACGUGGGAACCUUCCUAGGGGUACGGAACAACUCAGGGAAACUUGAGCUAAUACCGUAUACGUCCGUGAGGAGAAAGAUUUAUCGCCCCUAGACGGGCCCGCGUAGGAUUAGGUAGUUGGUGAGGUAACGGCUCACCAAGCCUACGAUCCUUAGCUGAUCUGAGAGGAUGGUCAGCCACACUGGGACUGAGACACGGCCCAGACUCCUACGGGAGGCAGCAGUGGGGAAUCUUGGACAAUGGGCGCAAGCCUGAUCCAGCCAUGCCGCGUGAGUGAAGAAGGCCUUCGGGUUGUAAAGCUCUUUUACCAGGGACGAUAAUGACGGUACCUGGAGAAUAAGCCCCGGCAAACUUCGUGCCAGCCGCCGCGGUAA
This 451-nucleotide ribosomal RNA is filed under the name uncultured bacterium. Its description in RNAcentral is "partial 16S ribosomal RNA". It matches the Rfam family "Bacterial small subunit ribosomal RNA", at positions 29 to 523 of the family's 1533-position model. The record is from RNAcentral.